This 29-nucleotide non-coding RNA is filed under the name Rattus norvegicus (Norway rat). Lineage: Eukaryota; Metazoa; Chordata; Mammalia; Rodentia; Muridae. The record is from RNAcentral.
UAGCACCAUUGUACAGGUUCAGCAUUUGC